This 908-nucleotide ribosomal RNA is filed under the name uncultured Bacillota bacterium. RNAcentral's name for it is "bacterial SSU rRNA". It matches the Rfam family "Bacterial small subunit ribosomal RNA", at positions 1 to 917 of the family's 1533-position model. The record is from RNAcentral. Lineage: Bacteria; Bacillati; Bacillota.
UGGAUCCAGACUUUGAUCAUGGCUCAGGAUAAACGCUGGCGGCGCACAUAAGACAUGCAAGCCGAACGGACUUAACCAUUAGUUUACUAUUGGAGCGGUUAGUGGCGGACUGGUGAGUAACACGUAAGUAACCUGCCUAUCAGAGGGGAACAACAGUUAGAAAUGACUGCUAAUACCGCAUAUGCCAUAGCCAUCGCAUGAUGGAAGUGGGAAAGGAGAAAUCCGCUGAUAGAUGGACUUGCGACUGAUUAGAUAGUUGGUGGGGUAAAGGCCUACCAAGUCGACGAUCAGUAGCCGAACUGAGAGGUUAAACGGCCACAUUGGGACUGAGAUAUGGCCCAGACUCCUACGGGAGGCAGCAGUCGGGAAUAUUGCGCAGUGGAGGAAACUCUGACGCAGUGACGCCGCGUGCAGGAAGAAGGUUUUCGGAUUGUAAACUGCUUUAGACAGGGAAGAAAAAAGACAGUACCUGUAGAAUAAGCUCCGGCUAACUACGUGCCAGCAGCCGCGGUAAUACGUAGGGAGCGAGCGUUAUCCGGAUUUAUUGGGUGUAAAGGGUGCGUAGACGGGUAAUUAAGUUAGUUGUGAAAUCCCAUGGCUCAACUGUGGAACUGCAACUAAAACUAAUUAUCUUGAGUACUGGAGAGGAAAGUGGAAUUCCUAGUGUAGCGGUGAAAUGCGUAGAUAUUAGGAGGAACACCAGUGGCGAAGGCGACUUUCUGGACAGAAACUGACGUUGAGGCACGAAAGUGUGGGGAGCAAACAGGAUUAGAUACCCUGGUAGUCCACACUGUAAACGAUGGAUACUAGGUGUAGGGUGUGACGAACGCUUUGUGCCGUCGCAAACGCAGUAAGUAUCCCACCUGGGGAGUACGGCCGCAAGGUUGCAACUCAAAGGAAUUGACGGA